GAUGAACGCUGGCGGCGUGCCUAAUACAUGCAAGUCGAGCGAACGGACGAGAAGCUUGCUUCUCUGAUGUUAGCGGCGGACGGGUGAGUAACACGUGGAUAACCUACCUAUAAGACUGGGAUAACUUCGGGAAACCGGAGCUAAUACCGGAUAAUAUUUUGAACCGCAUGGUUCAAAGGUGAAAGACGGUCUUGCUGUCACUUAUAGAUGGAUCCGCGCUGCAUUAGCUAGUUGGUAAGGUAACGGCUUACCAAGGCAACGAUGCAUAGCCGACCUGAGAGGGUGAUCGGCCACACUGGAACUGAGACACGGUCCAGACUCCUACGGGAGGCAGCAGUAGGGAAUCUUCCGCAAUGGGCGAAAGCCUGACGGAGCAACGCCGCGUGAGUGAUGAAGGUCUUCGGAUCGUAAAACUCUGUUAUUAGGGAAGAACAUAUGUGUAAGUAACUGUGCACAUCUUGACGGUACCCUAUCAGAAAGCCACGGCUAACUACGUGCCAGCAGCCGCGGUAAUACGUAGGUGGGCAGCGUUAUCCGGAAUUAUUGGGGCGUAAAGCGCGCGUAGCGGUUUUUUAGUCUGAUGUGAAAGCCCACGGCUCAACCGUGGAGGGUCAUUGGAAACUGGAAAACUUGAGUGCAGAAGAGGAAAGUGGAAUUCCAUGUGUAGCGGUGAAAUGCGCAGAGAUAUGGAGGAACACCAGUGGCGAAGGCGACUUUCUGGUCUGUAACUGACGCUGAUGUGCGAAAGCGUGGGGAUCAAACAGGAUUAGAUACCCUGGUAGUCCACGCCGUAAACGAUGAGUGCUAAGUGUUAGGGGGUUUCCGCCCCUUAGUGCUGCAGCUAACGCAUUAAGCACUCCGCCUGGGGAGUACGACCGCAAGGUUGAAACUCAAAGGAAUUGACGGGGACCCGCACAAGCGGUGGAGCAUGUGGUUUAAUUCGAAGCAACGCGGAGAACCUUACCAAAUCUUGACAUCCUUUGACAACUCUAGAGAUAGAGCCUUCCCCUUCGGGGGACAAAGUGACAGGUGGUGCAUGGUUGUCGUCAGCUCGUGUCGUGAGAUGUUGGGUUAAGUCCCGCAACGAGCGCAACCCUUAAGCUUAGUUGCCAUCAUUAAGUUGGGCACUCUAAGUUGACUGCCGGUGACAAACCGGAGGAAGGUGGGGAUGACGUCAAAUCAUCAUGCCCCUUAUGAUUUGGGCUACACACGUGCUACAAUGGACAAUACAAAGGGCAGCGAAACCGCGAGGUCAAGCAAAUCCCAUAAAGUUGUUCUCAGUUCGGAUUGUAGUCUGCAACUCGACUACAUGAAGCUGGAAUCGCUAGUAAUCGUAGAUCAGCAUGCUACGGUGAAUACGUUCCCGGGUCU
RNAcentral lists this ribosomal RNA (1371 nucleotides) under uncultured bacterium. RNAcentral's name for it is "bacterial SSU rRNA". It matches the Rfam family "Bacterial small subunit ribosomal RNA", at positions 28 to 1381 of the family's 1533-position model. The record is from RNAcentral.